This 5237-nucleotide long non-coding RNA is filed under the name Musa acuminata (dwarf banana). RNAcentral describes it as "long non-coding RNA (MACU_LNC005121)". The record is from RNAcentral. Lineage: Eukaryota; Viridiplantae; Streptophyta; Magnoliopsida; Zingiberales; Musaceae.
CUAAACUCCAUGUUGAUGCGAUGUUCGAGCACCCACACAACAAAUCCAGUGUAGAAGAAAGCAGCCAAGCUCCCCAACCACAAAUCAAAGGUCAGUGGCUUCAAAAAUAUCCAUGCAUUCUUGUUGAUGCUGUCCUUGACUGGUACCAGCAUUGCAAUGCCUGAUUCAGUGUAAGGUAAUGUAAAGUCCACAUAGCGAGAUCGGUUUUCUCUAAUUGUUACAUCCCCUACCACAGAGUCAUAUUUCUGCUGACAGAGAUCAAUUAGUAUAAAUCGUAUGCUUGGAGAUGAUGAAAUAAUGCUGGAAAUGGUAAACUAAAAACCAUUUAAGCGACAAAAAUACUCAAAAAGACAUCAUGAUAGUAUAAAUACAUCAAAUUAAGCUUCAAACAUUCUUAAGAAAGCCGUUUCAUUAUACAAGAUCUCAGAUUUGAAGUUAACCUGCAAACACUUCUAGACAUGAUGAUGCAACAGGUUUAGCUUUUUCAAAUGUAACUCAAGUUUGAUACAUUAAAUAUUUCCAGAAGAAGUUUGAUCAUGAUCAAUAAUAUCUAGGUAGUUUUUAUGAUUUAGAUAGGAAUUGGUCUUUGACUCGUAUAGUCAUCUAAGGUUAUACUAGAUAAACAGAAAAGAUCACUUCAUUAUCUAUCUUGUAGUUCAGUAUCACAACUAGUACUUGCCUGGAAAUAGACCUGAUCCACAAGGUCAUCGUAUGUCCCUGCACACAGUCCUUUUUCAUUCUCGAAAGGGAUGUACUCAUGUGGAAGAGCAUAAGGCAAUGUCUGCAAUGCAGCUUCGAAGACAUCAAUGCAGAACCCACUUACCGUGAUCGCAUUGGUGAUGGGAUUCCUUUCCACCUUCACAAAUUCAUCAGUUUCAUCCAACAAAGGAACACCAAUCCUUAACUUCUUCCCACUUAAUGGCAUCUCCCAACCCUUUGGAACAACAGUUGAUUCUCCUGGCCAGAUCACUGGAUUCAUAUCAGUCAUCAAGGCUGAAUACUCUUUAGUUCUGUUCUUUUUAAGUUGUUUUAUAAUUCCAUGCUGGGGUGUCCAGAACCCAAUUUCUCUCCCUCCUUUACCAACCACAUUGAUAAUCUGAAAUGUGGAGGACUGCAACUGCCCAUCUGCAAAAAGAAAUUCCCCACUUAUACCUCUGAAUCUGCUUUCAGAUAUCAAUUUUAGCAGUAGAGGACCAGCAAUAGACACCCCCAACCUGUCUGAUCCUGUUGAGUUACCGGUAUUUGCUAGCUUCAGAAAGCUAGAAUUUAUGCCCUUAACAUUUUCUGCUGCCAUCGCCACAGUCCAUACUGUAUCAUAAGCCCACAAGGCAAAGAUCCCAGGUUCAGCAGGCUGAUCAUCAGGGUUCUCCUGCUGAAACCUCCUCCUCCAUCUCCUGGCAAAAUGAUCGAGCUUUCUAGACUUGGGAACAUAUAGUCUUACACCAAUUGUACCUUGCAUUGAUGCAAUGAUAGAUGGGUCAAGUGACUCAACAAGACUUGUUAGUCCAUCGGUCAUGAUCCAUGCAUAUCCUUGGCUCAUCAAACCGGCCUCAUUGACCUUCCUGAAGAGGCGAGAACCCAUGGGAACUGACAUGUGCACGAUGAAGACCCUGGUUUGCAUGGUCAUCAGUUUGUAGAGUUCUUCAAUUAUUUGGUCAUCAGUUGCCACUAAGGAAAUCACACUGCGGUAGGGGACACGGCAGUCAACCUGUUCAAGGGAAUCGAUGAGGUAUGGUACGAUGCCCCUACCAUAAUCGGAGUCCUCAUAGACAGGAACAACCUCCCUCCAUCCAUAAGCCCUGAUAAUGGAGGAUAUACUAUCCACCUGAACAGCAUCAUCAAAUGCUGCCCGUACAAAAUACGGUGUUAGGGCGGAUGAGAGGGAAGGACUUGUUGCCGUGAAGGAGAUAAUAGGCACAUGAGAUUUGUUGCCGACAUAAGAGACCAGUGCUGCUUGUGAGGAUUUUUGAGGGCCUAUAAUGACCUGCACCUCUAUCUUCUCUAUAAGAUCCAAAGCUGUGUGCAAGCAAAGAAAAUGUAGUUGUCAGUAUAAAACACUGUAACACCAAAUUUGUCGAUCAACAUUUAGAUAUCAGACAAGCAUACAGUACUAAUUUAAUGUUAAAGGAAGAUGCCAAUAUGUAUUGAUGCUUGUGUUGAGGGGGCAGCAAAUAUUUGGAAUGAAAUCAGCAUAGCAACUGAUCUAUUACCUACAAAUUUUACUCAAAUCUCCAACUGACAUGGUGGCCGCUUAUAGAUCAGUUUUAGAUUCAUUCUCAACUUGUAAGGAUUUCAGAAGGGGUUGACAAACUAAACAUUGGAUGUCGUAACCUGCUUUCUUUAUCUUUUCCCAUUCAACAUAGAAUUCUUUGAUUGGCAUUUUCUGUAUCAGAUAGAGACACAGAUCCAUUGAUAAUGUUUCCUGAGAAAAAAAAAUCAGAGAUCAAAUUGUCUGGAGGUGGACUUCUGAUGAUUCUUUUUAAGCUAAAACAUCUAUAUGCCUUUCUGCACAGAAACUGACAUAUUAUAUCUGCUAGCAUCUGGAAAGGUAAAAAUACAACUAAGGUUUAAAAUACCAGUAUGGACACCGGUAGCCUGUCAAGGCUGCUAUUUACUAGUUGUUACUGUACUGGUAUGGUCUGAUACAACAAUAUAAGAUGGGAAGAAUUAUUACCAUGGUACUGGUGUACCAAUACCAGAUUGGACUGGUACAUACAUACUAAGUGAUGUGCUCACUAUACCAAAAAACUCCAAACCAUAUCAAAGAUUCCUGUGAAGUUCAAAUUCUUUGCUUGGUUGCUAUAAAGAAUGUUUACAUGCAAAAUUUAUCAAGGUAGAAGGGCUAUUAAUGUUUAAAGAUUGUCAGUUGUCAACAUCAUUGAAGAGUAAAUAUGAUUUAUUCAUGUGGUGUACUUUUGCCAAACUUGGGUAGAAAGUAUAAAGUUGCAAUUGUGAUUUUAAUGAUCAUCCUCGUAAUUUUUAUGUGUUGUUUAGGAAAUCAAGCUUAGUUGCUAUCUAAAGAGAAUUAGAUUAUUAGAUCAUGAAAGAUUUGGCCUUCCUGUGGUACUGGUUUAUCUGGCUGAAAAGGAGUGAAAGGACCUGUUUAGGAGUCUCAGAGGGUGAAGAGUUAUCUUCUUAUCUGAAAUUAUUCUUUAGUAGGUUUCCUUGUGGAAGGCACUUUCUCAGUUUUUUCUUCCUCAAGAUAAAACAAAGAAUGAAGCCAAAAGUUAUGGUUAGGAAACCCUUUGGAACUAUAUUUUUCUUUAGUAAAUUUCCACCUCAUCUUUUUCUAGAUAAGAAGGCAAGAUUGGUAGAAAAUGGGCUUUCUUCUUUUGUUAAUUGUUCUUGAAUUUUUCUUUCUGUUCUUAUUGUCCUGAACUAGAAAAAAAAAUGGCGAAUAUAAGAAACAGACAUGCUGACAGCUAACACCUUAUUAGACAGAACAAAUUCAUGUCAGACUUAAAGUCUGGUGUGGAGCUUUUAUCUCCAUAUGGCUUCAGAUAUUUGUAGUUCGUAAUGACAAAAAGCAGAUUGAAUGCCAUUUUCUUAUUUCUUUUCAUUUUUUGUUGUUUUUUUUUUUGUUCAGAAAGGUGGUCAAAAAGUAAAGAUGUUCUUCUACUUCUGUAGUAUGUUUGCUUAUCAAUACAUUUCAACGCUCCUUCAACACUGCUACUUAAGCCUCAAAUAGUCUAUCACAUGAAGUCCACAAGCUUCUGCUAACCAUCGAGAUUGAUGGAUGCAUGAAUGUAUCCAUUUCCUUCACACUUAGACUUGGAUUUUGUAUGUUUCUAAGUUUGUGUUAUCUCUCUGUUUCAGAAAUAAUUGCAAAGGCACAAAAAUUCUGAUACUAAUCAGACAACAAAAGAUAACUGGAUAGCUACCUGCAGAAGCCGCCUGCACCACAUCGUUACCCGAAUCUUUGGUGUGGAGAACCAGUCUCGUGGUGUAGUUGCUGUUGAUGGAGUAGAAGUCAUCGAUCGCCAUCGAUAUGCUAGUUUGCCCCAUUUUUCCGACCAAGGUGGUCAGGUCAAGGAUUACUCCAACAUGAAAGGGAUUUUCCAUAAUGUUGCUGCCAUUUCUCUGUGCUGCUGCAAAGAGAAUGAACAUGAACAGGAAGACAAUGACACCAGUAGGUUUCUCCAUUUUGAGCUACAGACUGUUUGCUCAAUGAUUGUGCCGAUUUGCCUUUUAUAAGAUCUCUUAGGAAGCUAAAAGAAGUCAGAUUAUUGCAAGAUAGUUUACUUUGACAAAGUCAGUAUGCCAUUUAUUAUGAUAUGAGAGUACAACAGUUCAGCAUGAAGUCUUCUUCUGCAUGCGAUCUCUGCCGUGAGCAGCCUUUGCCAAGUCUUCCUCAAGACUUCUAACUCAUCUCAUUCCACAACACAAAGUAGCUUCUCAUGUUGUACUUCUCUUCAAGGUCAAGAUUCUUGUUUUGCACACAACUUCCAUGGCUUCUCUCUAAUGCACAUAAAAGCUGCUGGUAACUCAUCUGAAGCUGGUAGUUCAUUCACAAAGCCAUGAAGUAGUUGUGAUUCUUUAAGAUGCUCAAUGGUGGAUACCUUGAUUAAGUCAACCAGAAUCUUUUUUCUAAGAGAAUUAUGCUAUGCUAUGCUAUACAUAUGAACUAAAUAAUACACUCAUGCCUCACUACUACAGGUACAGGGAAGUGGGUGGAAAAAUCUAAGUUCUAAACAAAUAGGAGAGUUGAAAGAUUCAAACAGAUUGAAGGCAUGGGAAGUUUCUCAUAAGCAUACUUCCAAUCGAAAGGAAACAGAGCUUAGGGUACUGUUCAUAAAAGAAUAAUUCCAUAUGCACAUGUAGAGCACAGCAUUGCAAUCUUGGAGGGCAAGAGAUGGAUUAUAAGAGAAAACACAGAAGCUAUAGCAUCUUCCCUCAAUGGCAUUGACUUGCCAUGGAUUUCUGAGAAGCUGAAACAAGUCUAAUCAUAAUAAGAUGGCUUACUUUGUCAAACUCCGAUGUAAUCCAAGCACUAUGAUGAGCUCAGAGUAUAAUAGUUGCCUCGAUGACUUUGAUUAGUAUGAAAGGAAUUGAUUUGGAAAAUGAUGUGCAUCAUCAACAAAAUGCUACUAGGUGGACACCUCAUCUCCAUCAACUCUUCGAGUUCAAGCUCCUGUUGUAGUUUGGUUCAUCUUCUUGAUUGAGCUAUUAUUUUGAUUAUGGCAAAUACCAGAUGACAUUCAUGACAAAUCUUACUUGAUAGAACACAACUCAGUAGC